RNAcentral lists this ribosomal RNA (98 nucleotides) under Pseudomonas panipatensis. RNAcentral's name for it is "16S rRNA. Bacterial SSU". It matches the Rfam family "Bacterial small subunit ribosomal RNA", at positions 1 to 95 of the family's 1533-position model. The record is from RNAcentral. Lineage: Bacteria; Pseudomonadati; Pseudomonadota; Gammaproteobacteria; Pseudomonadales; Pseudomonadaceae.
UUGAACUGAAGAGUUUGAUCAUGGCUCAGAUUGAACGCUGGCGGCAGGCCUAACACAUGCAAGUCGAGCGGAUGAAGAGAGCUUGCUCUCUGAUUCAG